This 267-nucleotide long non-coding RNA is filed under the name Elaeis guineensis (African oil palm). Its description in RNAcentral is "long non-coding RNA (EGUI_LNC047294)". Lineage: Eukaryota; Viridiplantae; Streptophyta; Magnoliopsida; Arecales; Arecaceae. The record is from RNAcentral.
UCUCUACUCUUUCAAUCACCUCCUACUCUUUUCCUAAGCCUUGUCUUAAAAUCAGCAGACUUGUCUUAAUAGAAGAACUAUCCUAACAAGACAAAGAAGAAAGAGGGUUUAAUUUGUUUGAGAGUUUGAGUGCCUUGGACUCUCAGUAUAAGUCCUAUUUAUAAGAGCAAAAGGGGUGUAGAAAAGGGCUCAGACAUGCCUCUUCACAUGUCCCUCAAAUCAGUGUAUCAAAAAAUUAAAAUACUUAUUUGAGGACUCUUAAUUUUC